Molecule: ribosomal RNA, 497 nt
Filed under: uncultured bacterium
Lineage: Bacteria
Description: partial 16S ribosomal RNA
Rfam family: Bacterial small subunit ribosomal RNA
Source: RNAcentral
GAUGAACGCUGCCGGCGUGCCUAAUACAUGCAAGUCGAGCGAACAGACGAGGAGCUUGCUCCUCUGACGUUAGCGGCGGACGGGUGAGUAACACGUGGAUAACCUACCUAUAAGACUGGGAUAACUUCGGGAAACCGGAGCUAAUACCGGAUAAUAUAUUGAACCGCAUGGUUCAAUAGUGAAAGACGGUUUUGCUGUCACUUAUAGAUGGAUCCGCGCCGCAUUAGCUAGUUGGUAAGGUAACGGCUUACCAAGGCAACGAUGCGUAGCCGACCUGAGAGGGUGAUCGGCCACACGGGAACUGAGACACGGUCCAGACUCCUACGGGAGGCAGCAGUAGGGAAUCUUCCGCAAUGGUCGAAAGCCUGACGGAGCAACGCCGCGUGAGUGAUGAAGGUCUUCGGAUCGUAAAACUCUGUUAUUAGGGAAGAACAAAUGUGUAAGUAACUAUGCACGUCUUGACGGUACCUAAUCAGAAAGCCACGGCUAACUACGUG